GAUUUUCAAAACCUGUUAAUUAUCAGCUUUAUUUUCUUUGAAAAUACACAAAUAUUUUGAAACGUAGAUGUUUAAGAUUAUUGGAUUUUUAAAACUCUACACAGACACACCAAUGAAAUUCAUACCAAAUGAAUCACUCCAGACUCCUAAGUUCAUGUACUAACUUAACUCCACGAUAUUCAGGAUAAAUGAUUACUACUAUGAACACUUAAAACAAAAACAACCAACAAUCGUAUUAUGCUGCUCUAAGUUGAACAACCAGUGUGUGGGUGACUGAUACAAAGAAUUUCAGUGGCAAACUUAGAAAUCCCUUAAAAAACAGAUGUGAACAGAGAGUGAGUUGAUGCAACCAUUCUACAUCUGGGAAAAAUAUUCUCCUUGUGAAUUCUAGCAAUGGAUAAAAUACUGUGUUUUAGAGCAGGACCACUCCUAGCAUUGUGACUUCAGCCAGACCUUCAAGGUUCAGGUCAGGCAGACAAGAGGAAGGCUUCAGGCAGGGGAACGGAUGAACUCCAGAAUGGGAUUAAGUUGUCAAAUGCCAGAACAGUGAAGCCUGCUUACAUGGAACACAGUUACAGGUCAGAACAAUGGGAAUUAAAAGGAAAAUACUUAAAAAGUUAGGACAUACUCCCAACACAUGUGCGCCAUCAAAUCAUAGGGGAGUUGAAAUUAUUCUGGAUUGAGGUCCAGUCUGAAAAAAAAAUCACAACAGCAAGAAUCUGGAGAGCAAGACACACACACCUCAGGUUGGUGGAG
This 756-nucleotide long non-coding RNA is filed under the name Bos taurus (domestic cattle). Its description in RNAcentral is "long non-coding RNA NONBTAT027063". Lineage: Eukaryota; Metazoa; Chordata; Mammalia; Artiodactyla; Bovidae. The record is from RNAcentral.